ACGCUCGACACCUACGGAGGCAGCAGUGGGGAAUAUUGCACAAUGGGGGAAACCCUGAUGCAGCGACGCCGCGUGGAGGAAGAAGGUCUUCGGAUUGUAAACUCCUGUUGUUGGGGAAAAAGAGGAUGGUACCCAACAAGGAAGUGACGGCUAACUACGUGCCAGCAGCCGACGGUAAUCUGAGGCGGGCGUGGACAAGGC
This 201-nucleotide ribosomal RNA is filed under the name uncultured bacterium. RNAcentral describes it as "partial 16S ribosomal RNA". It matches the Rfam family "Bacterial small subunit ribosomal RNA", at positions 328 to 545 of the family's 1533-position model. The record is from RNAcentral.